GCCAGACUCCUACGGGAGGCAGCAGUGAGGAAUAUUGGUCAAUGGGCGAGAGCCUGAACCAGCCAAGUCGCGUGAAGGAUGACGGCCCUACGGGUUGUAAACUUCUUUUGUCAGGGAGCAAUUGGGUCCACGCGUGGGCUUAGCGAGAGUACCUGAAGAAAAAGCAUCGGCUAACUCCGUGCCAGCAGCCGCGGUAAUACGUAGGGAGCGAGCGUUAUCCGGAAUUAUUGGGUGUAAAGGGUGCGUAGACGGGAAAACAAGUUAGUUGUGAAAUCCCUCGGCUUAACUGAGGAACUGCAACUAAAACUAUUUUUCUUGAGUGCAGGAGAGGUAAGUAGAAUUCCUAGUGUAGCGGUGAAAUGCGUAGAUAUUAGGAGGAACACCAGUGGCGAAGGCGACUUACUGGACUGUAACUGACGUUGAGGCACGAAAGUGUGGGGAGCAAACAGGAUUAGAUACCCCCGUACCG
RNAcentral lists this ribosomal RNA (469 nucleotides) under uncultured bacterium. RNAcentral describes it as "bacterial SSU rRNA". It matches the Rfam family "Bacterial small subunit ribosomal RNA", at positions 330 to 793 of the family's 1533-position model. The record is from RNAcentral.